RNAcentral lists this ribosomal RNA (774 nucleotides) under uncultured Neocallimastigales. Its description in RNAcentral is "partial large subunit ribosomal RNA". It matches the Rfam family "Eukaryotic large subunit ribosomal RNA", at positions 24 to 646 of the family's 3401-position model. The record is from RNAcentral. Lineage: Eukaryota; Fungi; Neocallimastigomycota; Neocallimastigomycetes; Neocallimastigales.
UAUGUGAUCGUCUCUCGCAUAUCAAUAAGCGGAGGAAAAGAAACUAACAAGGAUUCCCCUAGUAACGGCGAGUGAAGCGGGAAGAGCUCAAAUUUGAAAUCUUAAAGGGUUUCCCUUUACGAAUUGUAGUUUAAAGAAGUGUUUUCUGUUGAGGUUUUGGUAAAAGUUCUUUGGAAUAGGACAUCAUAGAGGGUGAGAAUCCCGUAUUUGACCUUUACUUUCAACUUUGUGAUACACUUUCAAAGAGUCGGAUUGUUUGGGAAUGCAGUCCAAAAUGGGUGGUAAAUUUCAUCUAAAGCUAAAUAUUGGCGAGAGACCGAUAGCGAACAAGUACCGUGAGGGAAAGAUGAAAAGAACUUUGAAAAGAGAGUUAAACAGUACGUGAAAUUGUCAAAGGGAAGCGUUUGACACCAGUGUUGUUUUUCUGAAAAUCAAUUAAAGAACUGUUUAUGCUAAGCUUGUUUAGACUGUAUCAGCUAACUGUUUAGUUUUGAGCUUUUCUUUAAUGCACUUUUCAGUUAACAAGUCAACAUCAAUUUCUUUUGCUGUAAAAAAGCUUGAGGAAGGUGGCUUGAGAUUCGUCUUAAGUGUUUAUAGCCUCUUGCCUAUGCAGUCGGAGAGAUUGAGGUCUGCAGCGUAGAUCCUUCGGGGCUAAAUGCAUUUGUGCUAAGUUAUAACAUUUUAUAGACAACUUGUUGACUAUGAUUUGUCUUGUAGCUUACUCGCUUAUGUUAUUUUACCUACGCUUAGGAUGUUGACACACGCGCGUGCUCG